GAUGAACGCUGGCGGCGUGCCUAACACAUGCAAGUCGAACGGAGUCGUUUUGGAAAUCUCUUCGGAGAUGGAAUUCUCGACUUAGUGGCGGACGGGUGAGUAACGCGUGAGCAAUCUGCCUUUAAGAGGGGGAUAACAGUCGGAAACGGCUGCUAAUACCGCAUAAAGCAUUAAAUUCGCAUGUUUUUGAUGCCAAAGGAGCAAUCCGCUUUUAGAUGAGCUCGCGUCUGAUUAGCUAGUUGGCGGGGUAACGGCCCACCAAGGCGACGAUCAGUAGCCGGACUGAGAGGUUGAACGGCCACAUUGGGACUGAGACACGGCCCAGACUCCUACGGGAGGCAGCAGUGGGGAAUAUUGCGCAAUGGGGGAAACCCUGACGCAGCAACGCCGCGUGAUUGAAGAAGGCCUUCGGGUCGUAAAGAUCUUUAAUCAGGGACGAAACAAAUGACGGUACCUGAAGAAUAAGCUCCGGCUAACUACGUG
RNAcentral lists this ribosomal RNA (483 nucleotides) under uncultured bacterium. Its description in RNAcentral is "partial 16S ribosomal RNA". It matches the Rfam family "Bacterial small subunit ribosomal RNA", at positions 28 to 507 of the family's 1533-position model. The record is from RNAcentral.